This 585-nucleotide long non-coding RNA is filed under the name Cyanistes caeruleus (blue tit). RNAcentral describes it as "lncRNA (ENSCCEG00000021582.1)". The record is from RNAcentral. Lineage: Eukaryota; Metazoa; Chordata; Aves; Passeriformes; Paridae.
CAAGAGCUCAUGUUCUUUUUCUGCACCUCUUGGGCAAAUGUGCCCUGAAUUUGCUCUGAUCUGUCUGUGUCUCUGCUUGAGUCCCUAACAUUGAGAAAUUUCCUUAAAAUGCAGGGAAAUGGCUUCUUUGGGGAAACACUGCAGAUGGCCAGAGGCACCAGACCAGGGGACUCUGGUUCUUGGCAGUCAAACCAUCCCUGAUCUGGGAUCUAACUGGGGGUGGGUCCCCAAGUCUUCUGUUUGGGGGCUGGCCUUGCCAGGGAGCUCUGCAGCUCCUGGGAAACAAGUUUAUCAGGGUCAGUGUCCCAGUGCCAGACUGGACCUGUGGGGUCUGUGUGGAUCACCCCACCUUGAGUUUCUAGGUCAGAUUCCCCAUUCCGCUGCUCCUGCGCUAGAACAGCGCUCAGGUUGCACAAUUGCAGAGGAGGGAGGAAUCUGCUUCCCGAAUCCCGAUCUCCCCGGGAGCCUUUCCCGAUUCUCCCCUUCUUCCCAGCAUAUCCUGCUGGAUCCCACCGCAGUGGGAGCAGCCCGGCAGCCUGGCUCUGCCCAGCCGCCCUCCGUCCUCCCUCCCUCCCUCUCCCUCAU